UCAUUCUAAACACUGAAACUAAAAGCUAGUGGGAAGGAGAGGAUGGAGAAGCAAGAAUGAACCUGAAGAAGAGGAAGGGGGAGACAGGACUUCACCCUGACUGUGCACUCUUGGCUGGUCCCACAGAGAUUCAGCUGCUCAGUGAUGCCUUCCUAAAAUUUGAUCCUCUCCUGCAGCAUCUGGGAUAAAAACCUCAUUGAAUUCAUAGUGUUGAGAGAAAAAAAAGAUACUUACAGAAUUAACACUUGGUGAAAACAUUAUGGAAGCCUUCUCCGUCUGCUCACGAUCAGGAGAAGGAACACAAUCGAGCAGGAGGAACAAGAGAGGAAACAAUGGGUUGGGGUGUGACUGUGACUCAGUGUGGAAAGCUCUCACAGCAGGCUUCUGGUGAGGAAUUGACUGUUCCAUGCUGCAUCCUUCAGAGAGAAAAUGGACUGGACUAAGGAGGCAAAUAUUGGAUGCCCAUGGCAGAGUACUCUUUUAAAAUAAUUUUUAAACCGGUGUUCUGGAUUUAUACACUAGUCUCUUGCCAGUUGGUGUGUAAUGAUGACAAGGUUGAGUUUCCCAACCUGCAAAGCCAGGGGUUAGUUGACUUCCCUUAGUAGAACCUGAAAUUUUCUUUUUAAGUUCU
Molecule: long non-coding RNA, 631 nt
Organism: Myotis brandtii (Brandt's bat)
Lineage: Eukaryota; Metazoa; Chordata; Mammalia; Chiroptera; Vespertilionidae
Exons: 3
Source: RefSeq, a predicted model, not a curated record